This 254-nucleotide ribosomal RNA is filed under the name uncultured bacterium. RNAcentral describes it as "partial 16S ribosomal RNA". It matches the Rfam family "Bacterial small subunit ribosomal RNA", at positions 524 to 776 of the family's 1533-position model. The record is from RNAcentral.
UACGGAGGGAGCAAGCGUUGUUCGGAUUUACUGGGCGUAAAGGGCGCGUAGGCGGUCAGCACAAGUCAGUUGUGAAAUCUCCGGGCUUAGCUCGGAAAGGUCAACUGAUACUGUGCGACUAGAGUGCAGAAGGGGCAACUGGAAUUCUCGGUGUAGCGGUGAAAUGCGUAGAUAUGACAUAGAACACCAAUUGCGAAGGCAGCUCACUACACAAAUAUUGACGCUGAGGCACGAAAUCGUCGGGAUCAAACAGG